CACACACACAUUAGUACAUGAACAGAACUCAUUUUCUGAUUGUUUAUUAAUACAGUGAAAAAUCUAAUUAAGCAGAGAACUCAGACAGAGGUAGUGAUGGUGGUGGUGAUGGUAGUGCUGGUGACGAUCAUGAUGGUGGUGGUGGUGGUGAUGGUGG
Long non-coding RNA from Octopus sinensis (East Asian common octopus), 157 nucleotides. RefSeq lists it as uncharacterized. The record is from RefSeq and is a predicted model, not a curated record. The transcript has 2 exons. NCBI's taxonomy places the organism in Eukaryota, Metazoa, Mollusca, Cephalopoda, Octopoda, Octopodidae.